GUGCAGCAGUCGAGAAACUUCACAAUGUGCGAAAGCACGAUGAGGGAAUCCCAAGUGCUUGCACGUAAGUGUAAGCUGUUUCUCUGUCUAAAACGCAGAGAGAGUAAGGGCUGGGUAAGACGGGUGCCAGCCGCCGCGGUAAUACCUGCAGCUCGAGUGGUGACCGUUAUUAUUGGGCCUAAAACGUCCGUAGCCGGUUUAAUAAAUGCCUGGGUAAAUCGGACCGCUUAACGGUUCGAAUUCCGGGUAGACUGUUAAACUUGAGACCGGGAGAAGUUAGAGGUACUCCUGAGGUAGAGGUGAAAUUCUGUAAUCCUAGGGGGACCACCAGUGGCGAAGGCGUCUAACUAGAACGGGUCUGACGGUGAGGGACGAAGCCCUGGGGCGCAAACGGGAUUAGAUACCCCUGU
This 410-nucleotide ribosomal RNA is filed under the name uncultured microorganism. RNAcentral's name for it is "bacterial SSU rRNA". It matches the Rfam family "Archaeal small subunit ribosomal RNA", at positions 330 to 742 of the family's 1478-position model. The record is from RNAcentral.